CAGAGUUAUCUAACUCCCAAACCAUUGUGAACUUACCAUAUGUUGCCUCGGCAGAACCUACCCUGUAGCGGGCUGCCGGCGGACCUCUAAACUCUUGUUAUACUAUUGUAAUCUGAGCGUCUUAUUUUAAUAAGUCA
This 137-nucleotide unclassified non-coding RNA is filed under the name uncultured Pestalotiopsis. Its description in RNAcentral is "sequence contains ITS1". The record is from RNAcentral. Lineage: Eukaryota; Fungi; Ascomycota; Sordariomycetes; Amphisphaeriales; Amphisphaeriaceae.